GACGAACGCUGGCGGCGUGCCUAAUACAUGCAAGUAGAACGCUGAAGAGAGGAGCUUGCUCUUCUUGGAUGAGUUGCGAACGGGUGAGUAACGCGUAGGUAACCUGCCUGGUAGCGGGGGAUAACUAUUGGAAACGAUAGCUAAUACCGCAUAAAAUGGAUUAUCGCAUGAUAAUCCAUUGAAAGGUGCAAAUGCAUCACUACCAGAUGGACCUGCGUUGUAUUAGCUAGUUGGUGGGGUAACGGCUCACCAAGGCGACGAUACAUAGCCGACCUGAGAGGGUGAUCGGCCACACUUGGACUGAGACACGGCCCAGACUCCUACGGGAAGCAGCAGUAGGGGAUCUUCGGCAAUGGACGGAAGGCUGAACGAGCAACGCCGCGGGAGUGAAGAAGGGUUUCGGAUCGUAAAGCUCUGUUGUAAGAGAAGAACGAGUGUGAGAGUGGAAAGUUCACACUGUGACGGUAUCUUACCAGAAAGGGACGGCUAACUACGUG
RNAcentral lists this ribosomal RNA (497 nucleotides) under uncultured bacterium. RNAcentral's name for it is "partial 16S ribosomal RNA". It matches the Rfam family "Bacterial small subunit ribosomal RNA", at positions 28 to 507 of the family's 1533-position model. The record is from RNAcentral.